Molecule: long non-coding RNA, 221 nt
Organism: Leptopilina heterotoma
Lineage: Eukaryota; Metazoa; Arthropoda; Insecta; Hymenoptera; Figitidae
Exons: 2
Source: RefSeq, a predicted model, not a curated record
AGAUUUAUUCUACCGCUACAAGAAUAUUCUCAAAACGAAAAAUUCUAUGGAACAAUUUCUAUAUCAAUAUUUCUAUUUGUGGAUCCAAGUCGCGGCCCUUUUAGAAAUAGUGAUGUAGAUUGAAUUUUAAUAUUUGUGUAUUAAUUCGAAAUUUAUUUUCCAAGUGAAUUUCGAAUUAUCGAAGGAGACAUUUUUCCUUUAAUAAAUGAAUUCUUGAUAAA